This 65-nucleotide transfer RNA is filed under the name Dipodomys ordii (Ord's kangaroo rat). It matches the Rfam family "tRNA". From Rfam's summary of the family: Transfer RNA (tRNA) molecules are approximately 80 nucleotides in length. Their secondary structure includes four short double-helical elements and three loops (D, anti-codon, and T loops). Further hydrogen bonds mediate the characteristic L-shaped molecular structure. tRNAs have two regions of fundamental functional importance: the anti-codon, which is responsible for specific mRNA codon recognition, and the 3' end, to which the tRNAs corresponding amino acid is attached (by aminoacyl-tRNA synthetases). tRNAs cope with the degeneracy of the genetic code in two manners: having more than one tRNA (with a specific anti-codon) for a particular amino acid; and 'wobble' base-pairing, i.e. permitting non-standard base-pairing at the 3rd anti-codon position. The record is from Rfam by way of RNAcentral. Lineage: Eukaryota; Metazoa; Chordata; Mammalia; Rodentia; Heteromyidae.
GGUGGCUCAGUGGUAAAGUGCUUGCCUUGCAUGCAUGAGGCCCGGGGUUCGAUUCCUUAGCACCA